CUGGGAUGCGUAGUUCUCAAGGACCUCGAGGCUAGGCUUGGAGGUGGAACUCCGGGUUCUCUGAUGUCAUCGCCCGGAGCUGCGAGGCGCAAGGAUCUUUAAAAUGAAGCUUCGUUCGCUUGCAGAUAAAUUUGUUUGCAAACCGUCUCACAGUCGGUACGGAAGGCAUUAAUUCACAGACUGCAGUGUGAUUUGGAGAAAAGUGCUUUCUACCUCUGAGCACAAUUUUUCGCUCUUAACCACUUCUUUCUCCUUUAGAAAUGCACCUCCACCUCCUAAUUAGAAUGCUGUUAAUAGUAUAGGUGGCUACGCGAAACUUAAAGAAUUAGUCGAAAUUCUUUAAGGGCGGAUGUCUUCUCAAAUGUUUAUAACAUAUUUGUUGAGCACCUACCAUGUGCCAGGUACCGUUCUCAGGGAUCCUGCGGUAGGUAAGGGGAGCUAGUCCAGAAGCCAGCAAGAUCAUUAAAGAUUUUAAUGCGGUGAAGAGCCGGACAAACUGCAAAGGUAGUGUCAGAAAGGGUGGUCAGGGAAAAAUCUCUGAGGAAGUGAUAUUUGAGCCAAAAUCUGAAGAAUGAGAAUCUUUCAAAGAUACUAAGAGUUAGAGAAGAAUUACAUACUAUAAUUUUCUCGGUACAUAGCACACACUAGACUCUGAAUAAUUUUGUGUUUGUUUCUUCUCCGUGCACAACCUUAGAUCACAUUCUUCUCCCUCC
Molecule: long non-coding RNA, 713 nt
Filed under: Marmota monax (woodchuck)
Lineage: Eukaryota; Metazoa; Chordata; Mammalia; Rodentia; Sciuridae
Source: RNAcentral